RNAcentral lists this ribosomal RNA (254 nucleotides) under uncultured bacterium. Its description in RNAcentral is "partial 16S ribosomal RNA". It matches the Rfam family "Bacterial small subunit ribosomal RNA", at positions 524 to 776 of the family's 1533-position model. The record is from RNAcentral.
UACGUAGGGUGCGAGCGUUGUUCGGAAUUAUUGGGCGUAAAGAGCUCGUAGGCGGUGUGUCACGUCGGCCGUGAAAACCUGCAGCUUAACUGUGGGCGUGCGGUCGAUACGGGCAUCACUGGAGUUCGGCAGGGGAGACUGGAAUUCCUGGUGUAGCGGUGAAAUGCGCAGAUAUCAGGAGGAACACCAGUGGCGAAGGCGGGUCGCUGGACAGUUCCUGACGCUGAGGCACGAAGGUCAGGGGAGCAAACGGG